AGAGAGAGGCUGCCGAUGGAUGGAGAGGGAACAAAAUAAAAAGAAAUUCGGGAAGAGAGGAGUGCAACCAAGCAGAGAAGCGAGUUGGCUGAGAGGAACUAAAAAGAGGAAGAGAGUCCACUCGAUUUAUUUCUGUCUCGCGAAUCCGAGAGGGUGGACCGGAUAACAGAGGGUCCGAAGGGGAGUGAAUAUCCCGGAUAUGUUCUGUAUAUGAGGCCAGAGUUGUGACCGAGAAAGAGAAGGGCGGAAGGGUCAUGUCUGGCAUGUAGAAUGCAAGCCGUGUGUGUGUGUGUGUGGCCCUAGUGGUCGGUGUUUGUGCGUUAUUUGCUGGUGUGAACAGUACAGGUAGAGAAAUGGGUCGGUGGAGCAGAAUGUGAAAUCCGAUAGAAAAUUAGUUAAAAUAAGAGAGAGAUGAGGGAUAAUCAUGAAAACAAAACAUGGAGUUAUGAAUGAGUGAAAUAAGUAACUGUGUUGGGUGAUUCAGUUGACAAAUAUAUAUUGUUUUAAUGUUUUUCAGUUGCUAGAUAAGAGUUGUUGUAUGUAUAUGAAAGAGAUGAGGGGAGCUCAUGGAAAUAAAAGUAGCGAUUCUAAUAAGUUAAA
Carica papaya (papaya) is the source of this 600-nucleotide long non-coding RNA. RefSeq lists it as uncharacterized. The record is from RefSeq and is a predicted model, not a curated record. NCBI's taxonomy places the organism in Eukaryota, Viridiplantae, Streptophyta, Magnoliopsida, Brassicales, Caricaceae.